UUCCUACGGGACGCAGCAGUGGGGAAUAUUGCACAAUGGGGGGAACCCUGAUGCAGCAAUGCCGCGUGGGUGAAGAAGCACUCCGGUGCGUAAAGCCCUGUCAGCAGGGAAGAAAAUGACAGUACCUGACCAAGAAGCCCCGGCUAACUACGUGCCAGCAGCCGCGGUAAUACGUAGGGGGCAAGCGUUAUCCGGAUUUACUGGGUGUAAAGGGAGCGUAGACGGCAAUACAAGUCGGAAGUGAAAUACCCGGGCUCAACCUGGGAACUGCUUUGGAAACUGUAUGGCUGGAGUGCUGGAGAGGU
RNAcentral lists this ribosomal RNA (305 nucleotides) under uncultured bacterium. RNAcentral's name for it is "bacterial SSU rRNA". It matches the Rfam family "Bacterial small subunit ribosomal RNA", at positions 336 to 658 of the family's 1533-position model. The record is from RNAcentral.